GUCGACGGUGAAGAGGAGCUUGCUCCUUGGAUCAGUGGCGAACGGGUGAGUAACACGUGAGCAAUCUGCCCUUGACUCUGGGAUAACUGCGGGAAACUGUAGCUAAUACCGGAUACGACCUUGGAAGGCACCUUCUGGGGUGGAAAGAAUUUUGGUCAAGGAUGAGCUCGCGGCCUAUCAGCUAGUUGGUGAGGUAAUGGCUCACCAAGGCGACGACGGGUAGCCGGCCUGAGAGGGUGACCGGCCACACUGGGACUGAGACACGGCCCAGACUCCUACGGGAGGCAGCAGUGGGGAAUAUUGCACAAUGGGCGAAAGCCUGAUGCAGCAACGCCGCGUGAGGGACGAAGGCCUUCGGGUUGUAAACCUCUUUUAGUAGGGAAGAAGCGACUGGGUUUUCCUGGAAGUGACGGUACCUGCAGAAAAAGCACCGGCUAACUACGUGCCAGCAGCCGCGGUAAUACGUAGGGUGCAAGCGUUGUCCGGAAUUAUUGGGCGUAAAGAGCUCGUAGGCGGUUUGUCGCGUCUGCUGUGAAAACCCGAGGCUCAACCUCGGGCCUGCAGUGGGUACGGGCAGACUAGAGUGCGGUAGGGGAGAUUGGAAUUCCUGGUGUAGCGGUGGAAUGCGCAGAUAUCAGGAGGAACACCAAUGGCGAAGGCAGAUCUCUGGGCCGUAACUGACGCUGAGGAGCGAAAGCAUGGGGAGCGA
Molecule: ribosomal RNA, 709 nt
Filed under: uncultured bacterium
Lineage: Bacteria
Description: bacterial SSU rRNA
Rfam family: Bacterial small subunit ribosomal RNA
Source: RNAcentral